AUGGCAGAUGACACCAGUGCAACAGGAGGCCUGGAGGCCCCGGGGGCCCUGGAAUGAGAGGCCAUGGUGGUUUCUAUGCAGGCUUCGGCAGCGGCAUUCAGGGCUGGGGUCACAGACAUGGUUGGGGCUGAGGCCGCAGAGCUUGUGGAGUCAAGGCCAAGGCCGAAGAGUGGAAGCCUGUCACCAAGCUGGGCCGCCUGGUCAAGGACAUGAAGAUGAAAUCCCUGGAGGAGAUCUAUCUCUUCUCCCUGCCCAUUAAGGAAUCUGAGAUCAUUGAUUUUUUCUUGGGGGCAUCUCUCAAGGAUGAGGUUUUGAAGAUUAUGCCAGUGCAAAAGUAGACCUGUGCUGGUCAGUGGAUCAGGUUCAAUGUGUUUGUUGCCACUGGGGACUACAAUGGCCAUGUCAGUCUGGGUGUUAAGUGGUCCAGGGAAGUAGCCACUGCCAUCAAGGGGUCAUCAUCCUGGCCAAGUUCUCUACUGUCCCAGAGAGAGGCUACUGGGGGAACAAGACUGGCAAGCCCCAGACUGUUCCUUGCAAGGUAACAGGCCACUGUGGCUCUGUGCUGGUACGUCUCAUCCCUGCUUCUAGAGGAACUGGCCUGUCUCAGCGCCCGUGCCUAAGAAGCUGCUAAUGAUGUCUGGGACUGAUGACUGCUACACUGCUACACUGCUACACUUCAGCCAGGGGCUGGACUACCACCCUGGGCAACUUUGCCAAGGCCACUUUUGAUGCCAUUUCCAAGACCUAUAGCUAUCUCACUCCUGACCUCUGGAAAGAGGCAGUGUUUACCAAGUCUCCUUGCCAAGAAUUCACUGACCAUCUUGUCAAGACUCACACCAGAGUCUCUGUGCAGAGGAUUCAGGCUCCAGCUGUGGCUACAACAUACAGUUUUUAUACAAGAAUAAUGAAGUAA
RNA transcript from Otolemur garnettii (small-eared galago), 913 nucleotides. It is a transcript of the gene named 40S ribosomal protein S2 pseudogene, with no coding region annotated. NCBI's taxonomy places the organism in Eukaryota, Metazoa, Chordata, Mammalia, Primates, Galagidae. The transcript has a single exon. The record is from RefSeq and is a predicted model, not a curated record.